Molecule: ribosomal RNA, 508 nt
Filed under: uncultured bacterium
Lineage: Bacteria
Description: bacterial SSU rRNA
Rfam family: Bacterial small subunit ribosomal RNA
Source: RNAcentral
AUCCUGGCUCAGGAUGAACGCUAGCUACAGGCUUAACACAUGCAAGUCGAGGGGCAGCAUGAGAUUAGCUUGCUAAUCUGAUGCGACCGGCGCACGGGUGAGUAACGCGUAUCCAACCUUCCCCCUACUCAGGCAUAGCCCGGUGAAAACCGGAUUAACUCCUGAUAGUUUCACUAGAUGGCAUCUGACGGUGAAUAAAGCUCAGCGGUAAGGGAUGGGGAUGCGUCUGAUUAGCUUGUGGCGGGUAACGGCCCACCAAGGCGACGAUCAGUAGGGGUUCUGAGAGGAAGGUCCCCACAUUGGAACUGAGACACGGUCCAAACUCCUACGGGAGGCAGCAGUGAGGAAUAUUGGUCAAUGGGCGCGAGCCUGAACCAGCCAAGUAGCGUGCAAGGAUGACGGCCCUAUGGGUUGUAAACUGCUUUUGUAUGGGAAUAAAGUCAGGGACGUGUCCCUGUUUGCAUGUACCAUAAGAAUAAGGACCGGCUAAUUCCGUGCCAGCCGCUGC